RNAcentral lists this ribosomal RNA (459 nucleotides) under uncultured bacterium. RNAcentral describes it as "partial 16S ribosomal RNA". It matches the Rfam family "Bacterial small subunit ribosomal RNA", at positions 338 to 795 of the family's 1533-position model. The record is from RNAcentral.
CCUACGGGAGGCAGCAGUGAGGAAUAUUGGUCAAUGGCCGGAAGGCUGAACCAGCCAAGCCGCGUGAAGGACGAAGGUGCCAAGCAUUGUAAACUUCUUUUGUCAAGGGACAAAAUCAGGCUCGAGAGCCUGACCGAGGGUACUUGAAGAAAAAGCAUCGGCUAACUCCGUGCCAGCAGCCGCGGUAAUACGGAGGAUGCGAGCGUUAUCCGGAUUUAUUGGGUUUAAAGGGUGCGUAGGCGGGCUGUUAAGUCAGCGGUAAAAGCCCGGGGCGCAACCCCGGCGAGCCGUUGAAACUGGGUGUCUUGAGAUGUCGAGAGGUAUGCGGAAUGCGCAGUGUAGCGGUGAAAGGCUUAGAUAUCGCGCAGAACUCCGAUUGCGAAGGCAGCAUACCGGCGGCGAUCUGACGCUGAGGCACGAAAGCGUGGGUAUCGAACAGGAUUAGAUACCCUUGUAGUC